GGCGACCCCGGCGAGCUUGGCAACUGGCCCAACUUCCCCGACUUCACUCUCCCGGGCAUGGGUCCGCCCGCGUAAAUGCUUCCAAAGUCCCUGCAAGCCGUAGCCUAAGCCUAAGCCAUCGUCUACCGUGGACUAUAGGAUGAUCUAUGCCCCAUCGUUCGACCCAGUUACUGCGCUCCCAUCGUUCGACCCAGUUACUGCGCU
Molecule: unclassified non-coding RNA, 204 nt
Filed under: Hevea brasiliensis (rubber tree)
Lineage: Eukaryota; Viridiplantae; Streptophyta; Magnoliopsida; Malpighiales; Euphorbiaceae
Source: RNAcentral